RNAcentral lists this long non-coding RNA (332 nucleotides) under Bos taurus (domestic cattle). RNAcentral's name for it is "long non-coding RNA NONBTAT018066". The record is from RNAcentral. Lineage: Eukaryota; Metazoa; Chordata; Mammalia; Artiodactyla; Bovidae.
AGUCUGUCAAACUGACUGGAAAAAUUCCUUGCAGUAUUGUCAUGGCUAUUUCUCAUCCCUUAACUGUUUUUUUGCAUGACAAGGUGCUUUUCUUACAGGACAAGUUACUAAUUUCGAAAUGGCUGACAUGCCUGUGUUAUUAAGUAAUGCCACAUUUCUCAAUCAAAACCAGCCCCUAUUAAGCAACUCCAAAUAGCCCAAAAGCAUUCUCCAAGGAAGACCAAAUAGAUUCAGAUUGCAAAAUAGUUUCUCAAAAAUUUAAAGAAGUGAAAAGUUUGAUUAGAAUUUAUGCCAAACUCAGAGUUUGUUUUUAUUAUUAAAAAUAUGUCAUA